Molecule: ribosomal RNA, 492 nt
Filed under: uncultured bacterium
Lineage: Bacteria
Description: partial 16S ribosomal RNA
Rfam family: Bacterial small subunit ribosomal RNA
Source: RNAcentral
AGUGAACGCUGGCGGUAGGCCUAACACAUGCAAGUCGAACGGCAGCACAGUAAGAGCUUGCUCUUACGGGUGGCGAGUGGCGGACGGGUGAGGAAUACAUCGGAAUCUACUUUUUCGUGGGGGAUAACGUAGGGAAGCUUACGCUAAUACCGCAUACGACCUACGGGUGAAAGCAGGGGAUCUUCGGACCUUGCGCGAUUGAAUGAGCCGAUGUCGGAUUAGCUAGUUGGCGGGGUAAAGGCCCACCAAGGCGACGAUCCGUAGCUGGUCUGAGAGGAUGAUCAGCCGCACUGGAACUGAGACACGGUCCAGACUCCUACGGGAGGCAGCAGUGGGGAAUAUUGGACAAUGGGCGCAAGCCUGAUCCAGCCAUACCGCGUGGGUGAAGAAGGCCUUCGGGUUGUAAAGCCCUUUUGUUGGGAAAGAAAAGCAGCAGGUUAAUACCCCGCUGCUCUGACGGUACCCAAAGAAUAAGCACCGGCUAACUUCGUG